RNAcentral lists this long non-coding RNA (762 nucleotides) under Citrus sinensis (sweet orange). RNAcentral's name for it is "long non-coding RNA (CSIN_LNC002820)". The record is from RNAcentral. Lineage: Eukaryota; Viridiplantae; Streptophyta; Magnoliopsida; Sapindales; Rutaceae.
UCACAUGCUACAAAAUUUGGAUUCAACUGUACAUUCUUAUGAUUAAAUUACAGAUGUUCCCACUUGGAGACCUCGACGUGAACAAUCCUUUUUUCAAACUUAAGCGUUAAGAGUGUCCUGUUCCUAUACUAGCUGGCAAAUUUAAGAGCACAAGCAUUUGUCAUGGAGACGCAUUGUAUGUUGCGACAAAUAUCGACGGGGGAAAAAGGGCGUGGCCUUUUGCUGGUGCUGCUGAAUGGGGGCACGGCUCAUAAUGUCUUUAGCCUCAACGACCCCACUGCUAGUGCUGCUAAUCAAAUCAAUACCAAUCCGACGGACGGUUGCCUGUCAUUAUCUCGGCCAGAUGAGCCAAAGCUUCAAGGAAUUGUAUGCAGGUCAAAAAAUGUACACAAAAUUAAGUGGUCAGCACUGUAUUGCUAGAGCAAUUUGGUUUCCAACUUGUACUAAUUAUGUACCUCAGACGAUAUUAAUUACACACGUCAUGUUUUCUGACUACAAAGAGGCGAGUACAUAUACAUGGCUGCUUUCCUUGACACUCAUUAGUUUCUGGUUCGGCAAAACAAACUAGGGACUCCAAAGGGUCCCCUGAAUUUGGUGGUACCAAACUACGUACGUACACAAAAUUGUGCCACAUAUUUGUAACUAAGAUUGGUACAAUUAAUUAAUAACAUGUUUGCUUCACUAAUUAAGAGGCUCGUGUAGUUUCACCAACAUUCUUCAAUGUCGGAUGAUAAGUAAUAAAGUUAUAUGAACAAUUAUUUC